This 133-nucleotide small nucleolar RNA is filed under the name Aotus nancymaae (Ma's night monkey). RNAcentral describes it as "U8 small nucleolar RNA (ENSANAG00000008512.1)". It matches the Rfam family "U8 small nucleolar RNA". Rfam says of the family: U8 is a member of the C/D class of snoRNA which contain the C (UGAUGA) and D (CUGA) box motifs. U8 is the RNA component of a small complex (the U8 snoRNP) which is required for accumulation of mature large subunit ribosomal RNAs, 5.8S and 28S rRNAs. The record is from Rfam by way of RNAcentral. Lineage: Eukaryota; Metazoa; Chordata; Mammalia; Primates; Aotidae.
UCAUCAGGUGGGAUAAUCCUCACCUGUUCCUCCUUUGGAGGACAGAUAAAACGUGAUGAUUGGAGAUGCAUGAAACGUGAUUAACGUCUCUGCGUAAUCAGGACUUGCAACACCCUGAUUGCUCCUAUCUGAU